This 195-nucleotide ribosomal RNA is filed under the name uncultured Acinetobacter sp. RNAcentral describes it as "partial 16S ribosomal RNA". It matches the Rfam family "Bacterial small subunit ribosomal RNA", at positions 338 to 524 of the family's 1533-position model. RNAcentral also lists the same sequence under 1 other name. The record is from RNAcentral. Lineage: Bacteria; Pseudomonadati; Pseudomonadota; Gammaproteobacteria; Moraxellales; Moraxellaceae.
CCUACGGGAGGCAGCAGUGGGGAAUAUUGGACAAUGGGCGCAAGCCUGAUCCAGCCAUGCCGCGUGUGUGAAGAAGGCCUUAUGGUUGUAAAGCACUUUAAGCGAGGAGGAGGCUACUGAAGUUAAUACCUUCAGAUAGUGGACGUUACUCGCAGAAUAAGCACCGGCUAACUCUGUGCCAGCAGCCGCGGUAAU